This 2655-nucleotide long non-coding RNA is filed under the name Homo sapiens (human). Its description in RNAcentral is "HSALNT0357678". Lineage: Eukaryota; Metazoa; Chordata; Mammalia; Primates; Hominidae. The record is from RNAcentral.
CUUGGGAGCUAAGUGGCAGCUAUACUUCACUACUAUGGCAGUAAAGAUGACUAUAAAGACUGGCGGGGGAUGGAUCCUUUCAAAUGUACCUGAGCUGGGAUGCCCAGCUUGUGGAACGCACAGCAGGAGGUGAGCAGUGGCCAAAGGAACAUCUGAAGGAACACCUGAUGAGGCUGCACCCUUGGCGGAAAGAACACCUGACAUGGCUGAAAGCUUGGUGGAAAAACCACCUGAUGAGGCUGCACCCUUGGUGGAGGGAACAGCUGACAAAAUUCAAUGUUUGGGGAAAGCAACAUCUGGAAAGUUUGAACAGUCAGCAGAAGAAACACCUAAGAAAAUUAUGAGGACUGCAAAAGAAACAUCUAAGAAAUUUGCAUGGCCAGCAAAAGAAAGACCUAGGAAGAUCACAUGGGAGGAAAAAUAAACAUCUGUAAAGACUGAAUGCGUGGCAGGAGUAAUACCUAAUAAAACUGAAGUUUUGGAAAAAGGAACAUCUAAGAUGCUCACGUGUCCUACAAAAGAAACAUCUACAAAAGCAAGUACAAAUGUGGAUGUGAGUUCUGUAGAGUCUAUAUUCAGAAGGAAGCAACAAAGACAGCAACUGAACAACAAGAAAAUGAUAUUGGAAUUAUUGAAUGAGCGCCAUAAGAUCUAACAAAUAAGAUGCCCACAUCAGAGUCAGGACAAAAAGAAGAUACGAAAUCACCUUCAGUUUCUGAGGUCACAGCUAUGGAUGUGGAAGAGAUAGGAAAGGCCUCACCACUUAAGAUAGAAGCAGCAGCUGCAUAGUGGUAACAGCAAUGAGUGGAUGUCAAAAGACAGAUUCAACUAGCCUAUCAAUAUUCUUGGGUGCAGUUCCUUCUCAUGAAAGAGCAAGGGAACUUAAAAAAUAUCACUGUGAACAACUUACAGCAAAAAUAAAACAAAUGAAAAAUAAGUUUUGGGUACUACAAAAGGAACUAUCAGAAGCAAAAAUAAAAUUGCAGUAAGUGAAUCAAAAGGUUAAAUGGGAACAAGAGCUCUGCAGUGUGAGCUUGGAAUGAAGUUGAUAAUAGUGAGACCUUGUUGGUACAAGACUAUGUAACACAACCUGCACUUCUCAACAAAAAAUUGCUUUUCUGACUUCUGCACUCAGUAGGUAUCUUUGGAAAAUAAUCUCCUAUUGGUACUGAGGCACCCUGGCUAAGUUUUGUAAUUCUUGUUGACAUUUGUUCGUGGUGCCAGAAAAGUAUUAUUAAGUAUUAUUAACUAUUCUAAAGAUAGUUACUUUUCUUUAAGACAGAGUCUCGCUCUGUCACCCAGGCUGGAGUGCAGUGGCAUAAUCUCGGCUCACUGCAAGCUCCACCUCCCGGGUUCAUGCCAUUCUCCUGUCUCAGCCUCCCGAGUAGCUGGAACUACAGGUACCCACCACCAAGCCCAGCUAAUUUUUUUGUAUUUUUAGUAGAGACAGGGUUUCACCAUGUUAGCCAGGAUGGUCUCAAUCUCCUAACCUUGUGAUCCACCCACCUCGGCCUUCCAAAGUCCUGGGAUUACAGGCGUGAGCCACUGCGCCUGGCCAAGAUAGUUACUUUCUUAGUGACACAAGUCACUAUGUCACAAAGUUGAUCCUUGAAUAAGGGUUUUCACUGUAGGAGCCCACUAACAGACAGAUUUUUCUUUUCCUUUGGCACUGCAAGAUAGCAAGACAAAUCUCUCCUCUGCCUCCUCAUCAGACUACUCAAUGUGAAGGCAAUAAGAAUGAAAACCUUUAUGUAUAAUAAUUCACUUCCACUUAAUAAAUAGUGAAUAUAUUUUUUCCUCCUUGUAACAGUUUUCCUCGAGUUCACUUUAUUGUAAGAAUACAGUAUAUAGUACAUAUAAAAUCGAAACUAUGUGUUAAUUGACUAUGCUUUCAGUAAGGCUCCAGGUCAACAGUGGACUAUUAGUAAAGGUUUGGAGGAGUCAAAAGAAACAGAUUUUCAUAUGAAGCAGAUUUUCAGCUGCAUGGGGGAUCAGCACCCUAACUCUCAUAUUGCACAAGACUCCAUUGUAAUUAAUUCUCAUUUACUAAAUGCAAACCGUUUAUUGUAAAAAUUAAAUAGAGCCCAGAAGUUCAAUACCAGCCUGGGCAACAUAAGGAGACCCUGUCUCUAAAAUACAUAAAUAAAUAAAACCAUGUUUCUUCAUAGGUUAUUGUGGGAGUUCAGUCAGGCUGGUGGGAAACAUUUUAAGAUGAAGUUAUAGGACAUAGACACAAAUCUUCUUGGAAUGCCAAAGGUUUUGUAAAAGUCUCAAGAUAGGGUUAUGGCUGAAAGCAGCCUAAUCCUUACCUUGAGUAAGUAGCUUAAAGUGGGUACAAAGAAAGGUAGAGUAGUUUAUCCAAAUAGCUUGUUUACUCAUGUGGUCUUAAGACUACCCUUUGAUCACCCACAGGCAAGAUGGCUCUCCUGGGGUAGGGGCACCCAGAUUAAUUACCCACAGGUGUGUUGGCUCAAAGCCUUUAUCAUUAAAACUUUGCUAAUAAAUGCCCACAGGGCCAGCUAGCCAGGGCUGUGGCUGCUGACUCUUUACAGCACCUUCCUUGGUGCCUGUAAUCGGCUCAGAACCCUUGCUGCUCUUUCACUGAAUAUUGGUGUCUGGGUAUGUGUCUCAUCCGUCAUGCAGCCGGGGUCUGUG